GGGCUGAUUAAGAGUAUGCCUGCCCAGUGGACCCAUGUGUUCACGGCCGCAGUAUUUUAACCGCGCGAAGGUAGCGUAAUCACUUGUUUUCUAAAUAAAGACUAGUAUGAACGGCCACACGAGGACUUAACUGUCUCCUUUAUCUAAUCAGUGAAACUGAUCCCCCCGUGCAGAAGCGGGGAUAACACCAUAAGACGAGAAGACCCUAUGGAGCUUUAAACCAAACUAACUACCCUUCUUAAACCUCUAAAGAGCCAACACAUUUAGGUAGCAUUAACUUUGGUUUUAGGUUGGGGCGACCAUGAAAAAAAACUUAACCUUCCUGAUGACUUUUAAACUAAGAGUUACAACUCUAAGUAUUAAGACUCUUAACCUUCAUUGACCCACUUUGUGACCAACGAACCAAGUUACCCUAGGGAUAACAGCGCAAUCCAUUUCAAGAGUCCUUAUCGACAAAUGGGUUUACGACCUCGAUGUUGGAUCAGGGCACCCAAGUGGUGCAACCGCUACUAAAGGUUCGUUUGUUCAACGAUUAAAGCCCUACGUGAUCUGAGUUCAAAACCGGAUUAUAUAUUU
Molecule: ribosomal RNA, 576 nt
Filed under: Megophrys sp. ENS 13959
Lineage: Eukaryota; Metazoa; Chordata; Amphibia; Anura; Megophryidae
Description: partial 16S ribosomal RNA
Rfam family: Bacterial large subunit ribosomal RNA
Source: RNAcentral